UACGGAGGGUGCAAGCGUUAUCCGGAUUCACUGGGUUUAAAGGGUGCGUAGGAGGACUGGUAAGUCAGUGGUGAAAUCUCCGGGCUUAACUCGGAAACUGCCGUUGAUACUAUCAGUCUUGAAUACCGUGGAGGUGAGCGGAAUAUGUCAUGUAGCGGUGAAAUGCUUAGAUAUGACAUAGAACACCAAUUGCGAAGGCAGCUCACUACACGAAUAUUGACUCUGAGGCACGAAAGCGUGGGGAUCAAAC
This 250-nucleotide ribosomal RNA is filed under the name uncultured bacterium. Its description in RNAcentral is "partial 16S ribosomal RNA". It matches the Rfam family "Bacterial small subunit ribosomal RNA", at positions 524 to 773 of the family's 1533-position model. The record is from RNAcentral.